UCAGACAUAGUGUAGUGACUGGGAGCACUGCCUCAAAGCAUGGAAUAUAUAUAUCGCAACGCCGAGGAUAACCAGUCCGAGGCCGUCCCGGGUUCGAGUCCCGGUGUUUGAA
Molecule: non-coding RNA, 112 nt
Organism: Mycena capillaripes
Lineage: Eukaryota; Fungi; Basidiomycota; Agaricomycetes; Agaricales; Mycenaceae
Source: the annotation of a GenBank genome assembly